This 497-nucleotide ribosomal RNA is filed under the name uncultured bacterium. RNAcentral's name for it is "partial 16S ribosomal RNA". It matches the Rfam family "Bacterial small subunit ribosomal RNA", at positions 28 to 507 of the family's 1533-position model. The record is from RNAcentral.
GAUGAACGCUGGCGGCGUGCCUAAUACAUGCAAGUCGAGCGAACAGAUGAGGAGCUUGCUCCUCUGACGUUAGCGGCGGACGGGUGUGUAACACGUGGAUAACCUACCUAUAAGACUGGGAUAACUUCGGGAAACCGGAGCUAAUACCGGAUAAUAUAUUGAACCGCAUGGUUCAAUAGUGAAAGACGGUUUUGCUGUCACUUAUAGAUGGAUCCGCGCCGCAUUAGCUAGUUGGUAAGGUAACGGCUUACCAAGGCAACGAUGCGUAGCCGACCUGAGAGGGUGAUCGGCCACACUGGAACUGAGACACGGUCCAGACUCCUAUGGGAGGCAGCAGUAGGGAAUCUUCCGCAAUGGGCGAAAGCCUGACGGAGCAACGCCGCGUGAGUGAUGAAGGUCUUCGGAUCGUAAAACUCUGUUAUUAGGGAAGAACAAAUGUGUAAGUAACUAUGCACGUCUUGACGGUACCUAAUCAGAAAGCCACGGCCAACUACGUG